This 554-nucleotide long non-coding RNA is filed under the name Toxoplasma gondii VEG. The record is from RNAcentral. Lineage: Eukaryota; Apicomplexa; Conoidasida; Eucoccidiorida; Sarcocystidae.
AGGAAACACAGCUGGAAAGUCGACUCGCGAAAACUGCUGGGUCCGUGUCGAAGAACUGAAAGGGCACUUUGAUUUCAACGCGCCGCGUGGUGGUGACGUUCGUCUGUACGGAAUUGACAGAUCGGAUGCAGACACAAAAGAACUUGGAAGAGUAUUCGAAGUCCCCCUAGGGAACACAGUCACGGAAUGACGACAACGGAGAGUGAUGUGCAUGUUCGUCACCCUCGCUAGGUCCGGAAGACAAAGAAGCGCCUCUUGUCGAUCUCUCUUUAGGGUCCGGAAGUGGAAAAGGAAGUGGAAGCGCGCUUUUUCCCCAAUGAAGAAGCCGUCCGUUCGUGGAGAGUGAGAUGCACUUCUUGCCGGGACAGUAGCCACACACCGGUGAUGCGACCUCAAUUCUGUUCCUGUCUAUCUUCUGUGUUCGAGCCUUCACAAUUCCUCGUGUGUCUGCCAGCGGGGAGCGAACUGGGAAUGCAGAACGGAAUCCACUGUUCGGCUGUCGUUUUUCUGUCUUGUAAACUCUGUGCGUGUUUGCCAGCUUUAUUGAGCGGGAG